UCAGAAGUAGCGGCGAAAUCGUGGGGUGGCAGUUGUGGUUGCGGUGUCAACGGCGAUCGUCAGUGGGUGUCUGAUAAUUGCAUGAUGUAAUUUCAGUUUUUAUAACUGCUUUUGUACUUUCUGAGUUAUGCGAGUAAGCGACGUUCUUUGGCUGGCGUACGUGAAAGUAUACAGUUUGAUAGCAGCUCACGAAAGUGAAGCACAUUUUAGGUUUCGUGCGAGUAAUAGGCACAGUCCAAUAGCGAUAAAUUUUUGCGAACCUCGUUGCGCUUGCGGUUUUUUAGGAAACCGCAAACCGACAAAACUGCCAAUUUGCGCUUUAUAGAUUAACAGACGCAACGCUCAAGUGUAAGAGGUGGUUGAAUUGGAGAGAAAAAUGAGCAAACAAAUCGUUCAGCGAGCCAAUCGCCCUUGCCCAAAAAAAUAAUAAAUAAUACUAAGCCAUACCGGAUUUUCCUUAUCGCCUUUAUCCAUCCAUCUUAGGAUGUUUGGGCAACAACUCAGGAUUUUUGGGCAUGGAACGCCCAUGAGAUGUCCUGACGAAAAAACAUUGUUUCUCAGCGAACAACAGCAGUUUGGUUUCGAGAAUGUUGGAUGCAAAAGUCAAGAUCGACUUCGAAAAAAAAAAAAACAACAGAAAAAAGCAGUAAAAAGCAGUAAAAGUCGAAGUUUAGCCGAACAUUUGCUAACUUUGUAUUCCUUCGGAAAAUUUGCUACAAAAACAUUGAACAAAAAAUCAAAUAUUUCACUCUACAUUUUUUCUUUUUUCAUUACAUUUAGUUUAAAAUGGAUGAACAAUUUAUUAUAUAUUUACAUUUAUGAUAGAAACACGAAAAAGAUGAUGGGACUUACAGGCAGCUCAUAGCGAAAAAUGGAGCGAAGUUUAAAUAAAAAUUUACUCAAAACUGCAAUUACAGUAAAGCAUCGCAAAACUGUUUUACAAAUAUAACUCAAUACAAAAUCCA
Molecule: long non-coding RNA, 965 nt
Organism: Anastrepha ludens (Mexican fruit fly)
Lineage: Eukaryota; Metazoa; Arthropoda; Insecta; Diptera; Tephritidae
Exons: 2
Source: RefSeq, a predicted model, not a curated record